AGCGGCGGACGGGUGAGUAACGCGUGGGUAACCUGCCUCAUGCAGGGGGAUAACAGUUGGAAACGGCUGCUAAUACCGCAUAAGCGCACAGUACCGCAUGGUACGGUGUGAAAAACUCCGGUGGUAUGAGAUGGACCCGCGUCUGAUUAGGUAGUUGGUGGGGUAACGGCCUACCAAGCCGACGAUCAGUAGCCGACCUGAGAGGGUGACCGGCCACAUUGGGACUGAGACACGGCCCAA
This 240-nucleotide ribosomal RNA is filed under the name uncultured bacterium. RNAcentral's name for it is "partial 16S ribosomal RNA". It matches the Rfam family "Bacterial small subunit ribosomal RNA", at positions 94 to 334 of the family's 1533-position model. The record is from RNAcentral.